RNAcentral lists this ribosomal RNA (429 nucleotides) under Fusobacteriota bacterium. RNAcentral's name for it is "Fusobacteria bacterium partial 16S ribosomal RNA". It matches the Rfam family "Bacterial small subunit ribosomal RNA", at positions 355 to 776 of the family's 1533-position model. The record is from RNAcentral. Lineage: Bacteria; Fusobacteriati; Fusobacteriota.
UGGGGAAUAUUGCGCAAUGGGCGAAAGCCUGACGCAGCGACGCCGCGUGAGGGAUGAAGGUUUUCGGAUCGUAAACCUCUGCCAGAAGGGAAGAAACCGCACUGUGCUAAUCAGCAGUGCCUUGACGGUACCUUCAAAGGAAGCACCGGCUAACUCCGUGCCAGCAGCCGCGGUAAUACGGAGGGUGCAAGCGUUAAUCGGAAUUAUUGGGCGUAAAGCGCACGUAGGCUGCUUUGUAAGUCAGGGGUGAAAUCCCACGGCUCAACCGUGGAACUGCGUUUGAUACUGCUUAGCUUGUAUCCGGGAGAGGGUGGCGGAAUUCCAGGUGUAGGAGUGAAAUCCGUAGAUAUCUGGAGAAACAUCAGUGGGGAAGGCGGGCACCUGGACCGAUAAUGACGCUGAGGUGCGAAAGCGUGGGGAGCAAACAGG